AGCUCAGUGGUAGAGCGCUUUCCUUAUAAGAAAGGUGUCGCAGGUUCGAGUCCUGCUAUGA
Molecule: transfer RNA, 61 nt
Filed under: Oculatella sp. LEGE 06141
Lineage: Bacteria; Bacillati; Cyanobacteriota; Cyanophyceae; Oculatellales; Oculatellaceae
Description: tRNA-Ile
Rfam family: tRNA
About the family: Transfer RNA (tRNA) molecules are approximately 80 nucleotides in length.
Source: RNAcentral